RNAcentral lists this ribosomal RNA (572 nucleotides) under uncultured bacterium. Its description in RNAcentral is "partial 16S ribosomal RNA". It matches the Rfam family "Bacterial small subunit ribosomal RNA", at positions 932 to 1505 of the family's 1533-position model. The record is from RNAcentral.
GUGGAGCAUGUGGUUUAAUUCNAUGCANNNNGAAGAACCUUACCUGGUCUUGACAUCCACAGAACUUUCCAGAGAUGGAUUGGUGCCUUCGGGAACUGUGAGACAGGUGCUGCAUGGCUGUCGUCAGCUCGUGUUGUGAAAUGUUGGGUUAAGUCCCGCAACGAGCGCAACCCUUAUCCUUUGUUGCCNNNGGUCCGGCCGGGAACUCAAAGGAGACUGCCAGUGAUAAACUGGAGGAAGGUGGGGAGACGUCAAGUCAUCAUGGCCCUUACGACCAGGGCUACACACGUGCUACAAUGGCGCAUACAAAGAGAAGCGACCUCGCGAGAGCAAGCGGACCUCAUAAAGUGCGUCGUAGUCCGGAUUGGAGUCUGCAACUCGACUCCAUGAAGUCGGAAUCGCUAGUAAUCGUGGAUCAGAAUGCCACGGUGAAUACGUUCCCGGGCCUUGUACACACCGCCCGUCACACCAUGGGAGUGGGUUGCAAAAGAAGUNNNNNGCUUAACCUUCGGGAGGGCGCUUACCACUUUGUGAUUCAUGACUGGGGUGAAGUGGUAACAAGGUAACCGUAA